Non-coding RNA from Podarcis lilfordi (Lilford's wall lizard), 656 nucleotides. Lineage: Eukaryota; Metazoa; Chordata; Lepidosauria; Squamata; Lacertidae. The record is from the annotation of a GenBank genome assembly.
UGCAGGUGUCAGCUGGCUGAAGGUCACCUUUGGAAGUCAGCUGUGUGGAUAUUCAUGACUUGAAGCUGGAUGUGUGUGUGUGUGUGUGUGUGUGUGUGUGUGUGUGUGUGAAUGCGUCCACAGACAUUCCUCACGGGAUGGCAGAUGGCAUGUGUCUAUGAGUGCAAAUGGGAGGUUUCGAAUAGAGUGUGUCUAUGAGUGCAAAUGGGAGGUUUCGAAUGGAGUGUGUCUGCGUGUGUGAAUGGGAGCAUUCGGACGUGGUCCAGGUAAGUAGUGUUGUGGCUGGGAAAUACGUGCUCAGCGGGUGGCAGAUGCCAUCCUCUGGGCGCAGGGUGAAUGGAACCAGUGGAUAUUCAUGGGCAGAAACCAGCAGAAGUUGACCAGGACGUCCGGGGUGAAGUUGCCAGGCAGCAGCCAGUGGAGGGUCUGGCUGAGGCUGCUGGACGGAGGCCAUCCCACUCAACGUGUUGUUUGCCUUCCAGGAAGCCGGUGAGGUUUUCCCCAAGACCGACCGUGAAAGUAAUGAAGAGAACAGCAGGACUGAAGCAAGGCAGUUUAUUUUCAUCAUCAUCAUCAUCAUUUAUUUAUAUCCCGCCCUCCCCAGCCGAAGCCGGGCUCAGAGUGGCUAACAAUAAAAGUAAUGCAACAUUCUAAAA